This 812-nucleotide unclassified non-coding RNA is filed under the name Hevea brasiliensis (rubber tree). The record is from RNAcentral. Lineage: Eukaryota; Viridiplantae; Streptophyta; Magnoliopsida; Malpighiales; Euphorbiaceae.
CUAAAUUCCACGAGGUCUAUUAUGGAUGAGAAGGAGACAUUAAUAUUAGAACUGCAUUUGGAAGUGAAUAUACUUAUAUCUGAAUGUAAUGAAAUGAAGAAGUCUCUGUACGAGGAUGAAUCCGAGAAAGAAAAUUUGAGAAAGCAGCUGUCCCGGCUGAAAGAGGAUCUGAACAAGAAUGAGGAUGCAUUAAAUAGUUUGGAAAAAAAGCUCACGGAUUCUGACAGUCUAAAAGAGACAAUAAAGUUGCUUGAGUGUCAGAUCAAGCUGAAGGAAAAUGCACUUGAUAACGCAAAGGAUUCAUUUAUGGAGAAGGAGAAAGAUCUUCAAGACAAAAUCGAAGAGUUAGAAAGAAGAUUAGAAGAACUCCAACAGAGCACAGAAAGGUUCUACGAACAGAAGUCCCUAAAGGUGGCGAUGGAUGAUCUAAAUCUCACAACUACAACAGGCACGGAAAAUGAAAAUCCCUCUCAAACAUUGUCUACAGAGAGCAACAACAGCUGUUGUUCGGACGAGGAAAUGGAAAGCACAGCAUGUAAUACCAGAAAUCUCGAAGAACUAUCAAAUGAAAUGGAACUACUGAAGGAGAGGAACAAGUUUAUGGAAGUUGAAUUGAAGGAAAUGCAAGGUAGAUAUUCAGAAAUAAGCCUCAAAUUUGCAGAAGUAGAAGGAGAAAGACAGAAGCUCGCGAUGAAACUGAGAAACAUCAAGAGCACGAAAAAAGAACUGGUAAAAUAGAUUUAAAUUGAAAUAAAUGUAAAUUGCUGAGGAAUUUUAUUAUUAUUCUUUACUUAUUUUUUCCUUGCAUAGAG